RNAcentral lists this ribosomal RNA (875 nucleotides) under uncultured crenarchaeote. Its description in RNAcentral is "bacterial SSU rRNA". It matches the Rfam family "Archaeal small subunit ribosomal RNA", at positions 21 to 903 of the family's 1478-position model. Lineage: Archaea; Thermoproteati; Thermoproteota. The record is from RNAcentral.
CCUGACUGCUAUCGGAUUGAUACUAAGCCAUGCGAGUCGUUGUAGUAAUACAAGGCAGACGGCUCAGUAACGCGUAGUCAAUCUACCCUAUGGACGGAAAUAACCUCGGGAAACUGAGAAUAAUGUCCGAUAGAACAUUAUGCCUGGAAUGGUUUAUGUUUCAAAUGAUUUAUCGCCGUAGGAUGGGACUGCGUCCUAUCAGUUUGUUGGUGAGGUAAUGGCCCACCAAGACUAUUACAGGUACGGGCUCUGAGAGGAGUAGCCCGGAGAUGGGUACUGAGACACGGACCCAGGCCCUAUGGGGCGCAGCAGGCGAGAAAACUUUGCAAUGUGCGAAAGCACGACAAGGUUAAUCCGAGUGGUUUCUGCUAAAGAAACCUUUUGUCAGUCCUAGAAACACUGGCGAAUAAGGGGUGGGCAAGUUCUGGUGUCAGCCGCCGCGGUAAAACCAGCACCUCAAGUGGUCAGGAUGAUUAUUGGGCCUAAAGCAUCCGUAGCUUGCUUCGUAAGUUCUCGGUUAAAUCCAUGCGCUUAACGUAUGGGCUGCCGGCAAUACUGCAAAGCUAGGGAGUGGGAGAGGUAGACGGUACUCGGUAGGAAGGGGUAAAAUCCUUUGAUCUAUUGAUGACCACCUGUGGCGAAGGCGGUCUACCAGAACACGUCCGACGGUGAGGGAUGAAAGCUGGGGGAGCAAACCGGAUUAGAUACCCGGGUAGUCCCAGCUGUAAACUAUGCAAACUCAGUGAUGCAUUGGCUUGUGGCCAAUGCAGUGCUGCAGGGAAGCCGGUAAGUUUGCCGCCUGGGAAGUACGUACGCAAGUAUGAAACUUAAAGGAAUUGGCGGGGGAGCACCACAAGGGGCGAAGCCUGCGGUUC